Molecule: long non-coding RNA, 1477 nt
Organism: Homo sapiens (human)
Lineage: Eukaryota; Metazoa; Chordata; Mammalia; Primates; Hominidae
Exons: 4
Source: RefSeq, a predicted model, not a curated record
GGGGACAGAGGGAGGGAGAGGGGAGGGGCCGGGCCUCAGGCCGCGGUCGGCGCCCCCCGCCCGCCCCCUCCGGACAAUAAGCUGCCUUUUAAAGGGCCACUCCGGGCGCCGGCACCGCCAGGUCCGCGAGGAGGGAGGGGCGCGCGCGGCGCUGGGGCUGCGGCGAGCGGGACUCCCCUGACGCUCCAGCUGCACCGCCCCGGGGCGGGGACUAAUCCGCCGGCCUGGCGUCUUGGUCUUCCCCGCAAGCAGUAAUCUCCUGCAACCCAGGAAAGGAGACUAGGUGGAGGAGAGGAGUGCUUUCGAAAUCAAAGAGAAAGUGCGGCGAAGGGGGCGCGGCCCUGAACAGAGGAGCCGCGGCUGCUGGGAGAACGCGCCCGGAGCCCCCUCCUUUUCCAGGGGCUCACCUCCCGCCCGGUGCCCGGUGCCCGGUGCCCGACGCUCCGCCUCCUCCCAGCCUUCGGCCCUCGGGUUUUCGCCCGGAUACCCUAGGCGCCUCCGGGACAUCUCCACAUCUUUGCCUACGGCGCCUAGCCCAGUACCAACCGGUGCUUGGUCUUCCCGUUCGCUAAAAAUUUAUUAUAAUAACAACAACCUAGCAUUACUGAGUGCUUACUGUGUACUAAGUGACUUGACAGGCAUUAUUUCAUUCGGUCUCCGUGGCCCUAGAGUUGAUCUUUGAACAACAUGAGUUUGACCUGCAUGGAUCCACAUAUACGUGAAUUUCCUUCCGCCUCUACCACUCCUGAGACAGCGAGACAAACCUCUCCUCUUCCUCUUCCUCUUCCUCCUCAGCCUACUCAGUGUGAAGACCUUUAUGAUGAUCCAUGUCCACUGAAUGAAUAGACCUCACGAAGCCAGACCGUAAGAUCUACAGGGGCUCUCAGACACCACCCCAUCCAACAGCUCGAAGAAGGAACCAGAGAAGACUAGAAACAGGAUGGAACGGGAAGGUGGAGGGAGAGGCGAAGGGGAAGUCUCGAUGCUGACUACAAGGCCCCCUCAUCCUCCGGCCUCCGGCUUGCAGGGACUGCCCCUGCCUUGGGAGAGUCCUCACAGGCCACACCUGCCACUGGGCCAGGCCCAGAGCAGACACUCACGACAGAUGAUAAGAAUGACAGCUGCCUGCGUUUGAGCAGGCACUCUAGGUGACUGUUGUACACAGUGCUUUUCAAGCAUAAUCUACCCUAACCUUCACACCAGCCCUGUGGGGUAGGUGAAUCUCACCCCAUCUUACAGAGGAGGAAACAGGGGUUUGGAGUGGUUGAGUGACUUGCUGUCAGACAAGUCUAAAUCUGACAGCAACGCCUGUGUUUGGAUCCCAUGCCAGAGACUGCGAGCUAGCCCCAGGCUGGUUCCAGGCUGUACACAGGUUUCACUUGAUUCACACACAUGGGGCCUCCUCAGAGUUUUAAAUUUUAUUUGUUGUCAACAUUUAGCAAUCAGAAGAGUUAACAUUAAAUCUCACAUUUCUGAA